GUGCAAGUCGAACGCUCACCUUCGGGUGGGAGUGGUAGACGGGUGAGUAACACGUGGGAACGUACCCUUUGGUUCGGGACAACUCUGGGAAACUGGAGCUAAUACCGGAUACGCCCUUUUGGGGAAAGGUUUACUGCCGAAGGAUCGGCCCGCGUCUGAUUAGCUAGUUGGUGGGGUAACGGCCUACCAAGGCGACGAUCAGUAGCUGGUCUGAGAGGAUGAUCAGCCACACUGGGACUGAGACACGGCCCAGACUCCUACGGGAGGCAGCAGUGGGGAAUAUUGGACAAUGGGCGCAAGCCUGAUCCAGCCAUGCCGCGUGAGUGAUGAAGGCCUUAGGGUUGUAAAGCUCUUUUAUCCGGGACGAUAAUGACGGUACCGGAGGAAUAAGCCCCGGCCAACUUCGUGCCAGCAGCCGCGGUAAUACGAAGGGGGCUAGCGUUGCUCGGAAUCACUGGGCGUAAAGGGCGCGUAGGCGGCGUUUUAAGUCGGGGGUGAAAGCCUGUGGCUCAACCACAGAAUGGCCUUCGAUACUGGGACGCUUGAGUCUGGUAGAGGUUGGUGGAACUGCGAGUGUAGAGGUGAAAUUCGUAGAUAUUCGCAAGAACACCGGUGGCGAAGGCGGCCAACUGGACCGGCACUGACGCUGAAGCGCGAAAGCGUGGGGAGCAAGCAGGAUUAGAUACCCUGGUAGUCCACGCUGUAAACGAUGAAUGCUAGCUGUUGGGAUGCAUGCAUCUCAGUAGCGCAGCUAACGCAUUAAGCAUUCCGCCUGGGGAGUACCGUCGC
This 789-nucleotide ribosomal RNA is filed under the name uncultured bacterium. RNAcentral's name for it is "bacterial SSU rRNA". It matches the Rfam family "Bacterial small subunit ribosomal RNA", at positions 55 to 889 of the family's 1533-position model. The record is from RNAcentral.